This 253-nucleotide ribosomal RNA is filed under the name uncultured bacterium. Its description in RNAcentral is "partial 16S ribosomal RNA". It matches the Rfam family "Bacterial small subunit ribosomal RNA", at positions 524 to 776 of the family's 1533-position model. The record is from RNAcentral.
UACGUAGGGUGCGAGCGUUAAUCGGAAUCAUUGGGCGUAAAGGGCGUGUAGGUGGUUCUGUAUGUCUACCGUGAAAGCGUACGGCUCAACCGUAUUUAGUCGGUAGAAACUGCAGGACUUGAGGCUGGGAGGGGCUGGUGGAAUUCCCCGUGUAGCGGUGAAAUGCGUAGAGAUGGGGGAGAACACUCGUGGCGAAGGCGGCCAGCUAGACCAGUUCUGACACUGAGGCGCGACAGCGUGGGGAGCAAACAGG